This is a long non-coding RNA of Cydia fagiglandana, 1842 nucleotides long. RefSeq lists it as uncharacterized. The transcript has 3 exons. NCBI's taxonomy places the organism in Eukaryota, Metazoa, Arthropoda, Insecta, Lepidoptera, Tortricidae. The record is from RefSeq and is a predicted model, not a curated record.
UCACUUUACAUUUUAAAUAUCUUAUAAAGCUGUUUUAAUAUCAUAAUAUCCUUUAAAAGUACAAAAAAUAUCACGAAAAAGAAUAAAAAAUUAAAAAAAAAAAUUGUCUGAUUUCAACGAGAGUAGGAGCAUUCAAUUGCUAGUUGUUUAUGGAGUUAGAUAAACAUAUUUUGUAUCACGUAAAAAAUUACACCCUGUAUAUGCGGGUCAUAAUUUGCGGUUAUUAAUAGAAGCGAGGGGAGGCCUUUGCCCAGCAGUGGGACACUUAAUCAGGCUAACAAAAAAAAAAAAUAGUAGUAAUCAGGAAAUAUUUAAAUAACAAUAACUAUUGCAGAAUAGCACCACGUACCGAGCAAUAGAAUUACUAAAUAACUUCUUAGCUACAGUCCAAACCGCAGACAUAUUCGCAGACAAGUGGCCGAAUUUACAAUAUAAUAUCAGGAUGUUUUUAAACUCAACCUAUGUAAAAGUAUAGUAUCAGGAUUUACAAAGUAGUUUUUUUUUAACUCUACCAGUACCUAUGUAGAUAGAUUCAGGCCUUUUUUAAAUCUAUACAUAAUGUAAAGUUAAAUAAAGAUCCUAGAGAUAGUUAUGACUAUGUAUUAAGAGUAUAAGUGUUUUUGCAUAUCUAGAGCUGUAAACUUAUACUUGUAUUUAUUUAAAGAAUAAAGAAUAAAAGGACACAUGAUACACUUUUAACUUAUAUGGAUACGUAAGUAUAAAGUGAGUUUAUAACAAACUUAUGUUUUCCUGGUUUUUAGAGCAAAAUGGUAUUCUUAGCGCUAGAUGCUAAGUACGCAGAUAUGUUUUUAUAUUCUGCACUGGAACCAGUAAGUUUGUCAGGCAGAGCAGGUUUUUUACAAACAGCAACCCUCCUAAACUGUACAUCGGUGGACCUUAUUGCAAAAGACAUAAGGUCCGAUGUACAGUUAACAGUUUGGCGAUGGUACGUAUCGAGAAGUAAAUAUUUUGUUUUGCAAGUUUAUUUUAAGUAGGUACUUGGGCUCCUGGAUAGACGUGUUUUGUGGUCAUGAACUUGUUUUUUGUAAUUUCCAUUGUGCUAAUUAUAAGUGAUCUAGCCUAUACAGAUAAUUGUGAAUUAUCUGAAGUACCUCCAAAAUCAAACAGUGGAUGCUGUGGUCACGCCGUGGGUGGAGACAAGUCAAGUCGUUCCAUUGCCGGCAUCGGGGAAUAUCCGUGGAUGGGUUCCGUGGAAUAUCGAAAAAAAGACGAUACAAUAAAGUUCCUCUGUGGCGCGGUCCUCAUCAGCGGGAAAUACGUUCUGUCUGCUGAACGUUCUCUGAAACGGCUUUCAAGUAUGCCACGCCGUGAGUAAACUGUGAUUCCUUAAACAUGAAAGAAAAUGUUGCCGUUAUGAUUCUUUGUAUAAACAGGCUACGAAGAACCACGUUUCACGAUAAGAGGUUCUUGAUACAAAUCUAUGAGUAGUUGAGUACAGCCGGCGUAUUAUGGAUGGUUUUAUCCACGUGAUAAUAUAUCUGUCACUUUUUAGCAUCGCGGGAUAGAAAGUGACGAACACGGUUUUAUUAGGUACACUGUCACGUAGACAAGAACUACCAUCAUAUCCCAAUAUCAAAAACAUAUUUCUGUGUAAAACCACUUUCUCAAAUCACAAAACCAAUGUUAAAUCAUUUAUUAUCCUCCUUCGUUUAUUAAAGAUUUAUAUUUUAGAUUUGGCUUUUUACAAUAUGACGUAUAAAAGUUAAAUAUAAAAACCACUUACAAAACAAUUAAAAAAAAUAAACCUAUUAGAAAAAUAAAAUACUCAUCAAUAAAAAUAAUUUUGUUUGUAAUUUGGACAGUAACGUAUACGUUUAUGUC